RNAcentral lists this ribosomal RNA (574 nucleotides) under Lodderomyces orthopsilosis. RNAcentral describes it as "Candida orthopsilosis partial large subunit ribosomal RNA". It matches the Rfam family "Eukaryotic large subunit ribosomal RNA", at positions 59 to 649 of the family's 3401-position model. Lineage: Eukaryota; Fungi; Ascomycota; Pichiomycetes; Serinales; Debaryomycetaceae. The record is from RNAcentral.
AAGAAACCAACAGGGAUUGCCUUAGUAGCGGCGAGUGAAGCGGCAAAAGCUCAAAUUUGAAAUCUGGCACUUUCAGUGUCCGAGUUGUAAUUUGAAGAAGGUAUCUUUGGGUCUGGCUCUUGUCUAUGUUUCUUGGAACAGAACGUCACAGAGGGUGAGAAUCCCGUGCGAUGAGAUGUCCCAGACCUAUGUAAAGUUCCUUCGAAGAGUCGAGUUGUUUGGGAAUGCAGCUCUAAGUGGGUGGUAAAUUCCAUCUAAAGCUAAAUAUUGGCGAGAGACCGAUAGCGAACAAGUACAGUGAUGGAAAGAUGAAAAGAACUUUGAAAAGAGAGUGAAAAAGUACGUGAAAUUGUUGAAAGGGAAGGGCUUGAGAUCAGACUUGGUAUUUUGUAUGUUACUCUCUCGGGGGUGGCCUCUACAGUUUACCGGGCCAGCAUCAGUUUGGGCGGUAGGACAAUUGCAAAGAAAUGUGGCACUGCCUCGGUAGUGUGUUAUAGUCUUUGUCGAUACUGCCAGCCUAGACUGAGGACUGCGGCUUCGGCCUAGGAUGUUGGCAUAAUGAUCUUAAGUCGCC